This is a long non-coding RNA of Macadamia integrifolia, 488 nucleotides long. RefSeq lists it as uncharacterized. Lineage: Eukaryota; Viridiplantae; Streptophyta; Magnoliopsida; Proteales; Proteaceae. The transcript is spliced from 2 exons. The record is from RefSeq and is a predicted model, not a curated record.
AGAAGAGGAAGAAAGAAGGAAAAGAAGAAGGAAGGAAAGAAGAAGAAGAGCGGAGGAAGGGUGCUGCCCACCUGCUGCCAAGGCUGUACCUGAGCUCAAAUGUUGUUGUUGCCCUUAUCUACUUGCUGCCAAAAUGAAGUGGAAGGCUGCCAGUGACUUUGCUACAACUGGGGAGAUGUUGGUGAGCUGCACAACUGCCCCAGAGUCUCCCUACUACACUUGCAAGUCCUAGAAACCAAGAAGAGAUGGUGUAACCGGAGCUAAGACGGACAGAUGAUCAAUGAUGGUUGUGAGGUCGUGUCUGUGAGAUACAAUGAAGAGGAUUGAGAUUUUUUUUGAUAUUGCAAUUAUUUAUGUCAUUGACAAUUGUAAGAUGUAUUUAUUAUUGUAAAUUGUGGGAACCAACUCAUGUUGAUGUAUCACUGUAGAUGUGAUCACUAGGUAUAUGCUCUCUUAUGGAUUUUAUAUGUGUACUCUAAUUUAAAGUA